UGUAUUUUGACUGUGCUAAGGUAGCGAAAUCAUUAGUUUUUUUAUUGGGAACCUGUAUGAGGGGAAAAAUGAAAAGUGAAAGAUUAAUUAUCUUUUUUUUGAACUUGAUUUUUUAAUGAAAAUUUUAGUUUUUUCCUAAAGACGAGAAGACCCCGAAAUCUUUAUUUUAAAAUGACUUUUUUUAAUUUUUAUUUGGGGGAAAGAGAUAUUUUUAUAUUAAAUUUUUUUAUUGUGAACUUUUUAAGGUUGAUUGGAUAGAUACUUUGGGGAUAACAGGAUAAUUCAUCUUAGAAGUUCUUAUUUUAAGAGGAGAUUGUUACCUCGAUGUUGGCUUUUGA
This 338-nucleotide ribosomal RNA is filed under the name Demodex sp. A CB-2023a. RNAcentral describes it as "partial large subunit ribosomal RNA". The record is from RNAcentral. Lineage: Eukaryota; Metazoa; Arthropoda; Arachnida; Trombidiformes; Demodicidae.